Molecule: non-coding RNA, 85 nt
Organism: Gaertneriomyces semiglobifer
Lineage: Eukaryota; Fungi; Chytridiomycota; Chytridiomycetes; Spizellomycetales; Spizellomycetaceae
Source: the annotation of a GenBank genome assembly
GGGCGGAUGGCCGAGUUGGUCUAAGGCGACAGACUUAAGUUCUGUUCUUCUCACGAAGGCGUGGGUUCGAACCCCACUCCGCCCA